AGUGAACGCUGGCGGUAGGCCUAACACAUGCAAGUCGAACGGCAGCACAGGAGAGCUUGCUCUCUGGGUGGCGAGUGGCGGACGGGUGAGGAAUACAUCGGAAUCUACUUUUUCGUGGGGGAUAACGUAGGGAAACUUACGCUAAUACCGCAUACGACCUACGGGUGAAAGCAGGGGACCUUCGGGCCUUGCGCGAUUGGAUGAGCCGAUGUCGGAUUAGCUAGUUGGCGGGGUAAAGGCCACCAAGGCGACGAUCCGUAGCUGGUCUGAGAGGAUGAUCAGCCACACUGGAACUGAGACACGGUCCAGACUCCUACGGGAGGCAGCAGUGGGGAAUAUUGGACAAUGGGCGCAAGCCUGAUCCAGCCAUACCGCGUGGGUGAAGAAGGCCUUCGGGUUGUAAAGCCCUCUUGUUGGGAAAGAAAUCCAGCUGGCUAAUACCCGGUUGGGAUGACGGUACCCAAAGAAUAAGCACCGGCUAACUUCGUGCCAGCCGCCGCAGUAA
RNAcentral lists this ribosomal RNA (505 nucleotides) under uncultured bacterium. RNAcentral's name for it is "partial 16S ribosomal RNA". It matches the Rfam family "Bacterial small subunit ribosomal RNA", at positions 29 to 523 of the family's 1533-position model. The record is from RNAcentral.